RNAcentral lists this ribosomal RNA (468 nucleotides) under uncultured bacterium. RNAcentral describes it as "partial 16S ribosomal RNA". The stretch from base 20 to 332 matches the Rfam family "Bacterial small subunit ribosomal RNA", at positions 47 to 358 of the family's 1533-position model. The record is from RNAcentral.
GACGAACGCUGGCGGCGUGCUUAACACAUGCAAGUCGAACGGAAAGGCCCUGCUUUUGUGGGGUGCUCGAGUGGCGAACGGGUGAGUAACACGUGAGUAACCUGCCCUUGACUUUGGGAUAACUUCAGGAAACUGGGGCUAAUACCGGAUAGGAGCUCCUGCUGCAUGGUGGGGGUUGGAAAGUUUCGGCGGUUGGGGAUGGACUCGCGGCUUAUCAGCUUGUUGGUGGGGUAGUGGCUUACCAAGGCUUUGACGGGUAGCCGGCCUGAGAGGGUGACCGGGGAGAGUGGGAAAAAGGAAGGGAGAAGAGGGGGAGGGGAGGAAGGAGGGGGGAAGAUGGAGAAGUGGGGGGGAGCAGGAGGGAGAGAGGGCGGGUGGGGGAUGAGGGCCUUGGGGGGGUAAAAAGGGGGCGGCAGGGAAGAAGCGGGAGGGAAGGGAGGGGAAAAAGAAGAAACGGCGAAAUACGUG